This 296-nucleotide small RNA is filed under the name Pongo abelii (Sumatran orangutan). RNAcentral's name for it is "retained intron". The record is from RNAcentral. Lineage: Eukaryota; Metazoa; Chordata; Mammalia; Primates; Hominidae.
GUAUGCACAAAUCUUAAGGGUAUAACAUAAUGAAUUUCACUAUCCAGAUAAAGAUUUAGAACAUUUAUAGUUUUCUUGUGCUCCUUUCAGGCAAUACCUAAAGGUAUUUACCUUGUCUUUUGAUAACCUCCUCCACAUCUUCUCUGGUUCCUUUUAACAGGGAAUGUGUUGAAUAUGUCAAGAGCUUCAAUAUCCCUCUACUCGUGCUGGGUGGUGGUGGUUAUACUGUCCGAAAUGUUGCCCGCUGCUGGACAUAUGAGACAUCGCUGCUGGUAGAAGAGGCCAUUAGUGAGGAG